CAGACUACUUAUGAUUGGUAUUAUUUUCUUCAGAUGCUUUUUUGGUUUUGAUGCCUAGAAUGCCCUCUUAUUAGUGAUUUUACUUAUAAAAUAUUUUUUUAAAACAACUUUAAUCAACAUUUUGAUGACCUAUUGUACAUUACAUAAAUUAAUCAUGGUUCCUUUUUCUAGGCAGCACAGAUUGUGCUAAUCUCUCUGUUUGAAUUGAAUACUCCUGAAUUUACCAUGUUACUUGGUGCCUUGCCAAAAACAUUCCAGGAUGGUGCCACCAAACUCCUGCACAACCACCUCAAGAAUUCCAGUAACACCAGUGUGGGCUCUCCAAGCAAUACGAUUGGCCGGACGCCCUCCCGACACACCAGCAGCAGGACCAGCCCCCUGACCUCACCCACCAACUGUUCCCAUGGGGGUCUGUCUCCAAGCAUGCUGGACUAUGAUACAGAGAACCUGAACUCUGAAGAAAUCUAUAGUUCUCUACGUGGAGUUACAGAAGCCAUUGAAAAGUUUAGUUUUCGAAGCCAAGAAGAUCUGAAUGAGCCAAUUAAACGAGAUGGCAAAAAGGAGUGUGAUAUUGUGUCCCGCGAUGGGGGCGCUGCCUCCCCUGCCACCGAGGGCCGGGGGGGUGGUGAGGUAGAAGGAGGCCGGACAGCUCUGGAUAACAAGACCUCACUACUCAACACCCAGCCUCCGCGCGCCUUCCCGGGGCCGCGGGCGCGAGACUACAACCCGUACCCCUACUCAGAUGCCAUCAACACCUACGACAAGACCGCCCUGAAAGAGGCUGUGUUCGAUGACGACAUGGAGCAGCUUCGAGACGUGCCCAUCGACCAUUCUGACCUGGUGGCUGACCUUCUGAAAGAGCUGUCCAACCACAACGAGCGAGUGGAGGAACGGAAGGGAGCCCUGCUGGAGCUGCUCAAGAUCACGCGGGAAGACAGCCUUGGUGUCUGGGAGGAGCACUUCAAGACCAUUCUGCUCCUGCUGCUGGAGACCCUUGGAGACAAAGACGUGAGAUGCUGGUUUGGCCUUAUCUUGCCCCUUUCCAUGUAAUGGGGUCACGAUGUCCUUUUCUUAUUGGGCUUAGCUUCAGCUUUACUUUCUGGGUUGUGCUUACUGUUUACAUCAAAACAUUUAUUUGUUCAUUUUUCACAUAUUUUCUGAGCACGUUUAAUAAGGUCAUGUUUUUAUCAGCAACAAGCUGCUGCUUGGCUUACGUGCAUGGUCUACAACUGGGUUUAUAGUAGUUGAGGAAACUUCAUUCCUGCAUCUAGUUGCUUUAACACAGAAUUUCUUAAAACUUUAUUAGCAUAGAAUGUGGUCUUUUAGGAUGUACUUUUUUACUUGUGAGUUUCAUUUUUGUUUCAUAUGUAAUUGAGAAAUAAAAAGGUUCAUUUUAAAAGACCUAAUUAAAUGCUACAUUCCAUGAAAUUCCAUCUUGGUCCCCCCCUACAUAUGUUAAGAGUUCCAAUAAUUUUAAUCAGUCAAGUGGCAGGUUCCAGAAGCAUGAUUCUGAUUUUUGUAUUAUUAAUUUAAAAAUAAAAAAAGCUUCAUCAUGCUGGGACAUUUGAAUGUGACAAACUAGGCAUUUCUGACACGCCUGGUCUGUGAUCUGCACAUCGCACAUAGAGAACUCUUAAAAGGGGGAGUAAUCUGGUCAAAGUCCUGCCUUCUCCCACCUGUGGAGCUGGUCCCUUAUAUGGAAACAGGAAUAGAUGCUGAGAAUUACCAGAAUUAAACCUCUACAAGAAAAAGUUUCUCCAUCCACAUGGAGAAGAGAAAUGAGAAGAGAGUGCUGUGGGGAGGGGCUGGAGGAAGGGGAUGGGAGGAUUGCCAGGAGGUGACAGGCCAUGCCCAGGGCCAGCUAGAGGGGACUUGCAUGGCAACUGAGUGACAGGGAGGCUGCUGCAUGCCAUGCCGUGGUGACUCAGAUAGCUUUCUGAUGCUUCGGAUUAAUGGUUUGGUUUAGGGAUAAGUAAAAAUAGAAGAA
RNAcentral lists this small RNA (1987 nucleotides) under Pan troglodytes (chimpanzee). Its description in RNAcentral is "retained intron". Lineage: Eukaryota; Metazoa; Chordata; Mammalia; Primates; Hominidae. The record is from RNAcentral.